GACGAACGCUGGCGGCGUGCCUAAUACAUGCAAGUCGAGCGGAGUUGUUCGAGGUGCUUGCACCUUGAAUAACUUAGCGGCGGACGGGUGAGUAACACGUGGGUAACCUGCCUAUAAGCCCGGGAUAACAUUCGGAAACGGAUGCUAAUACCGGAUACGCAAUUCGGUCGCAUGACAGAAUUGGGAAAGACGGAGCAAUCUGUCCCUUAUAGAUGGACCUGCGGCGCAUUAGCUAGUUGGUAAGGUAACGGCUUACCAAGGCGACGAUGCGUAGCCGACCUGAGAGGGUGAUCGGCCACACUGGGACUGAGACACGGCCCAGACUCCUACGGGAGGCAGCAGUAGGGAAUCUUCCGCAAUGGACGAAAGUCUGACGGAGCAACGCCGCGUGAGUGAUGAAGGUUUUCGGAUCGUAAAGCUCUGUUGCCAGGGAAGAACGCUUGGGAGAGUAACUGCUCUCAAGGUGACGGUACCUGAGAAGAAAGCCCCGGCUAACUACGUGCCAGCCGCCGCAGUAACAC
This 521-nucleotide ribosomal RNA is filed under the name uncultured bacterium. RNAcentral describes it as "bacterial SSU rRNA". It matches the Rfam family "Bacterial small subunit ribosomal RNA", at positions 28 to 526 of the family's 1533-position model. The record is from RNAcentral.